RNAcentral lists this ribosomal RNA (497 nucleotides) under uncultured bacterium. RNAcentral's name for it is "partial 16S ribosomal RNA". It matches the Rfam family "Bacterial small subunit ribosomal RNA", at positions 28 to 507 of the family's 1533-position model. The record is from RNAcentral.
GAUGAACGCUGGCGGCGUGCCUAAUACAUGCAAGUCGAGCGAACAGACGAUGAUCUUGCUCCUCUGACGUUAGCGGCGGACGGGGGAGUAACACGUGGAUAACCUACCUAUAAGACUGGGAUAACUUCGGGAAACCGGAGCUAAUACCGGAUAAUAUAUUGAACCGCAUGGUGCAAUAGUGAAAGACGUUUUUUCUGUCACUUAGAGAUGGAUCCCCGCCUCAUUAGCUAGUUGGUAAGGUAACGGCCUACCAAAGCAACGAUGGGUAGCCGAACUGAGAGGGUGAUCGGCCAAACUGGAACUGAGACACGGUCCAGACUCCUACGGGAGGCAGCAGUACGGAAUCUUACGCAAUGGGCGGAAGCCUGACGGAGCAAAGCCGAGUGAGUGAUGACGGUCUUCGGAUCGUAAAACUCUGUUAUUAGGGAAGAACAAAUGUGUAAGUAACUAUGCACGUCUUGACGGUACCUAAUCAGAAAGCCACGGCUAACUACGUG